GGGGAUGAUCGGUUUCGACAUCGUCUGUGAACCUGCGAGAAGCGGGCCGAGAAUGCGGAGUCAACUCGUUAAUGUCCUCCGCAAAACCAUAAGUGCCGAAUCUAACGACACUGCCUCGCAGAAGAUCACCCAGGACCAGUUCGCCCUCGCGGCGUAGGUUCUGAUUCUUCAGCACUAAACAGGCCGUCGGCCCGGGAAUGUCUUCUACCCGGGUUCCGGCGUAAUCUAGAGGGCUUGCUGCGCGACUGAGCCUCAGGGUCGCGCGGGACUCUUCCUGAGACUGGGCUCGUCGGUCGCGUUGCCAAUGACAACGACCGGGGCCGAGUAGAACGCACCAUUGGCUGCACCCGGAGAAGGCGCAGACUCUCAGCGAUGGACGGGGGUUCGAUUCCCCCCAUCUCCACCA
RNAcentral lists this transfer-messenger RNA (406 nucleotides) under Cnuibacter physcomitrellae. RNAcentral describes it as "Standard tmRNA". It matches the Rfam family "transfer-messenger RNA". Rfam says of the family: Bacterial tmRNA, also known as 10Sa RNA or SsrA, is named for its dual tRNA and mRNA-like properties. Its role is to liberate the mRNA from a stalled ribosome. The record is from Rfam by way of RNAcentral. Lineage: Bacteria; Bacillati; Actinomycetota; Actinomycetes; Micrococcales; Microbacteriaceae.